GCUGGAUGCCCAGGUGCUCCCACUUGUGGACCAGGACUGAACGCAGGCAGUGCAACAUGGAGCUUGCAUUGUGUUGGGUUUUCCUGUUUGCAAUUUUGAAAGGUGUCCAGUGUGAGGUGCGACUAGUGGAGUCUGGGGGAGACUUGGUGCCACCUGAGGGAUCCUUGAAGCUCUCCUGUGUGGCCUCAGAAUUCACCUUCAGUAGCUAUGACAUGAGCUGGGUCCGCCAGGCUCCAGGGAAGGGGCUAGAAUGGAUCUCAUACAUCACUCGGAAGGGGCUGGAGUGGGUCACAAGCAAUUAUGGUGGUGGUAGCACAUACUACGCGGACUCCGUGAAGGGCCGAUUCACCGUCUCUAGAGAAAACGCAAAGAACACGCUGUAUCUGCAAAUGAACAGUCUGAGAACUGGGGACACGGCUGUGUAUUACUGUGCAAGAGACACAGAUGAAAAUUACAGGCAUACCCAUACUGAUGAGGAUGUGGAAAAAUUAGAGUACCCAGAAAUGAAACCUGACCUGAAGAGGCAUCACCAUAAAAAGCUGGUGGAGAACACUGUAGGAUUCAGCUCACACCCAUAUGGACUCUUGUAA
Non-coding RNA from Heterocephalus glaber (naked mole-rat), 590 nucleotides. The record is from the annotation of a RefSeq genome assembly. Lineage: Eukaryota; Metazoa; Chordata; Mammalia; Rodentia; Bathyergidae.